AGUCGAGCGGACAGAAGGGAGCUUGCUCCCGGAUGUUAGCGGCGGACGGGUGAGUAACACGUGGGUAACCUGCCUGUAAGACUGGGAUAACUCCGGGAAACCGGAGCUAAUACCGGAUAGUUCCUUGAACCGCAUGGUUCAAGGAUGAAAGACGGUUUCGGCUGUCACUUACAGAUGGACCCGCGGCGCAUUAGCUAGUUGGUGAGGUAACGGCUCACCAAGGCGACGAUGCGUAGCCGACCUGAGAGGGUGAUCGGCCACACUGGGACUGAGACACGGCCCAGACUCCUACGGGAGGCAGCAGUAGGGAAUCUUCCGCAAUGGACGAAAGUCUGACGGAGCAACGCCGCGUGAGUGAUGAAGGUUUUCGGAUCGUAAAGCUCUGUUGUUAGGGAAGAACAAGUGCAAGAGUAACUGCUUGCACCUUGACGGUACCUAACCAGAAAGCCACGGCUAACUACGUGCCAGCAGCCGCGGUAAUACGUAGGUGGCAAGCGUUGUCCGGAAUUAUUGGGCGUAAAGGGCUCGCAGGCGGUUUCUUAAGUCUGAUGUGAAAGCCCCCGGCUCAACCGGGGAGGGUCAUUGGAAACUGGGAAACUUGAGUGCAGAAGAGGAGAGUGGAAUUCCACGUGUAGCGGUGAAAUGCGUAGAGAUGUGGAGGAACACCAGUGGCGAAGGCGACUCUCUGGUCUGUAACUGACGCUG
Molecule: ribosomal RNA, 705 nt
Filed under: Bacillus sp. 13BL
Lineage: Bacteria; Bacillati; Bacillota; Bacilli; Caryophanales; Bacillaceae
Description: bacterial SSU rRNA
Rfam family: Bacterial small subunit ribosomal RNA
Source: RNAcentral